RNAcentral lists this long non-coding RNA (1286 nucleotides) under Pan troglodytes (chimpanzee). Its description in RNAcentral is "lncRNA (ENSPTRG00000054456.1)". Lineage: Eukaryota; Metazoa; Chordata; Mammalia; Primates; Hominidae. The record is from RNAcentral.
GAUCAGCGCAGGCCGGUGUUGAACCGCAAGCAGCGUCUGAGGCACUGGGUGGUCGAGGCUGUGAUAGAUCAAGCGCUGAUCACGCGGCACCACCUCAAGAAGCAGGCAUCCAGUGCACGUGCCAACAUUACUCUGUAGGGGAAGAAGCAAGCAGAUCCGGCUUGCCCAGAUAGAGAAGGCAGCCAUGGAGGUGGAAGCCCCUCAAAGCCAGCUAGGACUAUCAAACCACAGCUCAAAAUGCAAAAGAAGACAAAAGUCCCCCAGGACAUAGAAAUGAAGGACCUUGAAGAUGAGAGCUAAACCUCUUCAACUAGAAGAUUCUCAACUAGAGCCCAAAGGACUCAGUGGUUGUUUCAGAGGAUGUUGACAAAAGCAGUGCCCCUUUUCACUCUCCAUAUUUCCUCCUUUCUAAUGGCCUACUGACUUCCCCUGGAGGGAUGUCUUUGGGAGGGAAGAGGGUACAGAAGAAAGAUUGGAGAAGGGCCUCUCUAGCAGUCAACUCCAUUUGUGAUAAAACCCUGGCACUCUGGAAAACAAACAAACAAAGAGCACUCACUACUGGCUUCAUAAUCAAGCACAGAACUAUCCUCAAGACGGGGUUUCAUUAUAUUAUUCAGGCUGGUCUAGAACUCCUGACCUCAGGUGAUCCAUCUGCCGUGACCUUCCAAAGUGCUGGGAUUACAGGUGUGAGCCACCACACCCGGCCUGGCUUCUUUCACUUAACAUAAUGUCUUCAAGGUCAUCCGUGUUGUAGCAUAUGAAGGUAGCUGUCAAUUAUGAGCAGCCUAUGGAGAGGCCUACACUAUGAGAAACUGAGGUCUUUGGAAGUCCUGAGUGGAGAAAAACUGAUGCUUCCUGUCAAUUACUAGGUCUGUGAGUCUUCUUAGAAGCAGAUUCUCUAGCUCCAGGCAAGCCUUUCGGCAACUUUAGUCCCUGCUGACAUCCUGAGUGCAACCUGAACUACAAAGCCGAACUGCUCCCAAAUUCCUGACUUUUGAGAUAGAAUCUCGCUCUGUUGCCCAGGCUGGAGUGCAGUGGGGCAAUCUCGGCUCCCUGCAACUUCAGCCUCCCAAGUAGCUGGGAUUACAGGCAUGCACCACCACACCAGGUAAUUUUUAUAUUUUUAGUAAAGAUGAGUUUUCACUGUGUUGGCCAAGAUGGUCUCAAACUCUUAACCUCAAGUGAUUCACUCACCUCAGCCUCCCAAAGUGCUGGGAUUAUAGGUGUGACCCGCUGUGUCCAACCAACAUUUGUUGUUUUAAGCUUCUAAGUUUUGGAAUAACUUG